GAUGAACGCUGACAGAAUGCUUAACACAUGCAAGUCAACUUGAACUUCGGUUUGGGUGGCGGACGGGUGAGUAACGCGUAAAGAACUUGCCUCACAGAUAGGGACAACAUUUGGAAACGAAUGCUAAUACCUGAUAUUAUGAUUUUAGGGCAUCCUAGAAUUAUGAAAGCUAUAUGCGCUGUGAGAGAGCUUUGCGUCCCAUUAGCUAGUUGGAGAGGUAACGGCUCACCAAGGCGAUGAUGGGUAGCCGGCCUGAGAGGGUGAUCGGCCACAAGGGGACUGAGACACGGCCCUUACUCCUACGGGAGGCAGCAGUGGGGAAUAUUGGACAAUGGACCAAGAGUCUGAUCCAGCAAUUCUGUGUGCACGAUGAAGUUUUUCGGAAUGUAAAGUGCUUUCAGUUGGGAAGAAAAAAAUGACGGUACCAACAGAAGAAGUGACGGCUAAAUACGUGCCAGCAGCCGCGGUAAUACGUAUGUCACAAGCGUUAUCCGGAUUUAUUGGGCGUAAAGCGCGUCUAGGUGGUUAUGUAAGUCUGAUGUGAAAAUGCAGGGCUCAACUCUGUAUUGCGUUGGAAACUGUGUAACUAGAGUACUGGAGAGGUAAGCGGAACUACAAGUGUAGAGGUGAAAUUCGUAGAUAUUUGUAGGAAUGCCGAUGGGGGAAGCCAGCUUACUGGACAGAUACUGACGCUGAAGCGCGAAAGCGUGGGUAGCACACAGG
RNAcentral lists this ribosomal RNA (723 nucleotides) under uncultured Fusobacterium sp. RNAcentral describes it as "bacterial SSU rRNA". It matches the Rfam family "Bacterial small subunit ribosomal RNA", at positions 28 to 776 of the family's 1533-position model. The record is from RNAcentral. Lineage: Bacteria; Fusobacteriati; Fusobacteriota; Fusobacteriia; Fusobacteriales; Fusobacteriaceae.